CAUAGGUUAAGAAAAACAUACCACUAGAUUUGCAGCUUUCUGUAGUGAGUCCAGAUCAACUCAGGAAGUGACUGAUCGUUAUGAGCUCAGGUAGGUAAAUCGAGCCACAACUGAUAUAUGGCAAUUUUAUUUGAUAUAGUAUACCUUCUACCUUCACCACAGACUAGGGCAGAGGCUCCCACUCCACAGGUAAGUCUGUCUAACCUCCUCCUCCUCUUGAACAUAUAAAAAGUGUAUUUUAUUUUAAUAAAAUGCGGCACAGCAGAAAUAGAGCAGAAAAUAAAUGACAACUCUUUUUGUGACUAAUGUGGAAUUUAGUGGGUUCCAUUACAGAAUCUGAAUACUUGUGUAGCAUGGCCUCACUAGAACACAUUUUCCGUACGUGGGGGACACCUUCCUUAUCAUUUCCAACAAGCAUGGCUUGUUAUGAGCAGUUUUAAUUAACCCCUUAAGGACAUAUGACAUGUGUGACAUGUCAUGAUUCCCUUUUAUUCCAGAAGUUUGGUCCUUAAGGGGUUAAAGAAACUCUGUACACCAAAACAACUUUAUCUUAAUCAAUCCGUUUUGGUGUAUAGACCAUGCGCCUGCAGUCUCACUACUCUGCCAUUUAGGAGUUAAAUCACUUUGUUUCUGUUUAUACAACCCUAGCCACACCUCUCCUGGCUGUGACUAAUUUUGAUAUACUACACAAUAAGUCUUUUCCUGCUUUAUCUCUCCUACAUAUAUUGGACAUCAACUAUAGCAAAGCUCCAGAUAUCCUCUGAUUGUACCGUCCAGGCGACAUACAGGGUAUGUGGAACUUUGCUACAGUUGACGUCCAAUAUAUGUAGGAGAGAUAAAGCAGGAAAAGUCUUAUUGUGUAGUAUAUCAAUACAAAAGGUAGGUGCUAAAGUGCUAUCUUACUUAACGUUUCCAAUGACUUACUCUGGUUGGAAAAGCGUUGGUGCUAUUAUCCACACUUGGGAUUUGUAGGAUGCUUGUAAAUCAGGAAAUAUGAUGACUUGUAUAAAACUAUUUUCCUGGCUAAUCAUGGCAGCAUAUACACAUGGGUUAGCUCCUCCCCUUACAGCCGAUAGGACAGGAAAACCACCAAGGUUUUAAAAGGAGGCUCCAUCCCUAAGGUCCUCAGUCUUUUUCCUGUCCUACAGCCCUUAGGACGUGAGCAAUUUGCUCCCUUUACUUACGGACAUGUAUGUUGUUUUAUCUUCAUUACUUUAUUUGCCUGUUUUACUGUAGUACAUUAUGCAGUUGUGCUUUUAUGUUGUGAUGCAUUUAAGCUUUGAUAUCUUUAAUCCUUUAAGGACCAAACUUGUGGAAUGAAAGGGAACCAUGACAUGUCAUGUGUCCUUAAGGGGUUAAACUAGUGCAUUAUACAGCUGUACCUUAUUUUUAGGAUUGUGGUACAUUAUGCGAUUGUGCUUUUGCUAGGAAGCAUUUAAGCUGUGUGGCAUUUAAAACUUUCAUUUAAAUUUGCAUUUAAUAUUGUACUGUAAUACCGCAAGUCAUUGGAAACCGCAGUACAUUUGGAAAACUGCAGUGCAUUUGAAGACUGAUAUAAUUUUAAAAACUGUUACAUUUUUGGAAACUGUGGAUUUGAAAACUGUGUUACCUUUUAUACAUUGAGGCCUUUAGACUGUGGUGCCUUUAAACUUUGACUUUUUGCACCUGGUUGCCAUUUAAACUUCCUUGCAGGCACUUUUGUUCUCUAUUUUGCUUCCCCCUCGGUCCCAGUGAUUUAUUCCCGGUCACUGGGUGUUUAGGGGCCAUGUAGGCUUCAGACAGAGUCCUCUCCCUGGUCUCUAACAGCAAACACACUCGGAAUAGGCCCACAUGUGCAGUUUGUGCCUUAUUGGGUCUAAUACAGAUGACUUGCAUUGUGGGAAUACAAGUUGUGGCAGCCAUCUUGGAUAAGGGCAAUUGCCCGAAAGUGCCUAAAAUAAAGGGAAAAUUACAGUAACCAUACACUUAUUGGGUAAGUUUUUGCAGGGUCUCCAGACAUGGAUAAGUGCUGUCUUCAGACUGUUUUAAAGCUGUUUCGCUGGUUUCUUAUAGAAUUUAACAGUGCACAUUUUUUCUUAAUACUUUACCACAGGUAAUAUUUAGUUAUUAUUAUUUGUCAGAUGUCUGAUUCUUCACCAGGAUCUGGUUAUGAGGAGAAAACAGUGGAAGGAAUCGGUUAUGCACUGACUGCCUCCAGAAGGUUGUCGCUUCAGCAUGACCUAUCACUGUGCAGCCACAUGACAUGCGGACAGGGCUUACAAAGUAAGUUCCAGAGGCCUUAGGGGUAAGAAAAGAGGCCAGGCUUUACCCUGUGGAGGACGUUAUUUACAACCCCAGAACUACACC
This 2346-nucleotide long non-coding RNA is filed under the name Pelobates cultripes (western spadefoot toad). The record is from RNAcentral. Lineage: Eukaryota; Metazoa; Chordata; Amphibia; Anura; Pelobatidae.